UACGUAGGGGGCAAGCGUUGUCCGGAUUUAUUGGGCGUAAAGAGCGUGUAGGCGGCCAGGUAGGUCAGCUGUGAAGACUCGAGGCUCAACCUCGAGACGCCGGUUGAAACCGUCUGGCUAGAGUCCGGAAGAGGAGAGUGGAAUUCCCGGUGUAGCGGUGAAAUGCGCAGAUAUCGGGAAGAACACCCGUGGCGAAGGCGGCUCUCUGGGACGGUACUGACGCUGAGACGCGAAAGCGUGGGGAGCGAACAGG
This 253-nucleotide ribosomal RNA is filed under the name uncultured bacterium. RNAcentral's name for it is "partial 16S ribosomal RNA". It matches the Rfam family "Bacterial small subunit ribosomal RNA", at positions 524 to 776 of the family's 1533-position model. The record is from RNAcentral.